GGUUGGUGGACUGUACGGAAGCGAGAAUGCCGGCAUGAGUAGCGAAAAACGUGUGAGAACCACGUUCACCGGAAGCCCAAGGAUUCCUGGGGAAGGUUGAUCCACCCAGGGUAAGGCGGGACCUAAGGCGAGGCCGCGAGGCGUAGUUGAUGGACAGCAGGUUGACAUUCCUGCCCCGCCCUGACGACGCAUGGACCGAAGGGGUGACGCGGGAGGCCAGGUGCGCCGGGUGCUGGAAGACCCGGUCCAAGGACGUAGGGGGAGGGACCAGGGAAAGCCGGUUCCUUGAAAACCCUGAGAUCUGAUGGGGAGCCCCAAAUGGGGCGAAGGCAUUGACGCCCGACCGCCGAGAAAAGCCUCUAGGGAGGAAUUGGGGCGCCCGUACCCGAAACCGACACAGGUGGGCUGGCUGAGCAGGCUAAGGUGGACGAGAGAACCCUCGCUAAGGAACUCUGCAAGUUGACCCCGUAACCUCGGGAGAAGGGGUGCCCCUGAGGGUGAGGUGUACAAGACGAUGCCGAGCUUUUGGGGGUCGCAGAAACCAGGCCCAGGCGACUGUUUACUAAAAACACAGGACUCUGCUGAAGGCGUUAAGCCGACGUAUAGGGUCUGACACCUGCCCGGUGCUGGAAGGUUAAGGGGAGAGGUUAUCCGGCACUCAGCUUGUUUCAUUGGUGUAGCAUGAACGGAAGGACUACGUAUCCGAUGGAGCGUGCAUGAUCGAUGGGAUGAGCUGAGUGCCGGAGAAGCUUUGAACCGAAGCCCCAGUAAACGGCGGCCGUAACUAUAACGGUCCUAAGGUAGCGAAAUUCCUUGUCAGGUAAGUUCUGACCUGCACGAAUGGUGUAACGAUCUGGGCGCUGUCUCGGCGAGGGACUCGGUGAAAUUGUGGAACCGGUAAAGACGCCGGUUACCCGUGGUGGGACGGAAAGACCCCGUGGAGCUUUACUGUAGCCUGUUAUUGGAUUUUGGUACGUCAUGUACAGGAUAGGUGGGAGGCUAAGAAGUCUGUGCGCCAGCGCAGGUGGAGCCGUCCUUGGGAUACCACCCUUGAUGUACUGGGGUUCUAACCGCAGAGUCUGAAACGACGUGCGGGACAGUGGCAGGUGGGCAGUUUGACUGGGGCGGUCGCCUCCCAAAGAGUAACGGAGGCGCGCGAAGGUCACCUCGAGGCGUAUGGAAAUCGCCUUAUGAGCGCAAGGGUAUAAGGUGGCCUUACUGUGAGACUGACAGGUCGAGCAGUCGCGAAAGCGGGUCCUAGUGAUCCGGCGGUACCGAGUGGAAGGGCCGUCGCUCAUCGGAUAAAAGCUACCCCGGGGAUAACAGGCUGAUCUUGCCCGAGAGUUCCUAUCGACGGCAAGGUUUGGCACCUCGAUGUCGGCUCGUCGCAUCCUGGGGCUGAAGCAGGUCCCAAGGGUUGGUCUGUUCGCCCAUUAAAGCGGUACGUGAGCUGGGUUUAGAACGUCGUGAGACAGUUCGGUCCCUAUCCACCACGGGCGGAAGUGAUUUGAGGGGAGCUGCUCCUAGUACGAGAGGACCGGAGUGGACGCACCGCUGGUGUACCGGUUGUGUUGCCAGAUGCAUAAGCCGGGUAGCUAUGUGCGGAACGGAUAACCGCUGAAGGCAUCUAAGCGGGAAGCCGGCCUCAAGAUGAGAUCACUCACCGCGUAAGCGGGUAAGGCACCCUGGAGAAGACGGGGUAGAUAGGCCGGAGGUGUAAGACGUGCGAGCGUUUGAGCCGACCGGUACUAAUAUGCCGAGGCCUUAACC
This 1770-nucleotide ribosomal RNA is filed under the name sediment metagenome. RNAcentral's name for it is "bacterial LSU rRNA". It matches the Rfam family "Bacterial large subunit ribosomal RNA", at positions 1268 to 2925 of the family's 2925-position model. The record is from RNAcentral.